AUUUAUAUAGUUUAUUAAAAACAUUACAUUUUCACUGUAAAAAAAAAUAAUAUUUUAUAAAUA
Molecule: transfer RNA, 63 nt
Filed under: Arenivaga sp. B097
Lineage: Eukaryota; Metazoa; Arthropoda; Insecta; Blattodea; Corydiidae
Description: tRNA-Glu
Source: RNAcentral